Molecule: unclassified non-coding RNA, 674 nt
Filed under: Hevea brasiliensis (rubber tree)
Lineage: Eukaryota; Viridiplantae; Streptophyta; Magnoliopsida; Malpighiales; Euphorbiaceae
Source: RNAcentral
GUUUUAUGAAUAGAGAUUACAAAUUCACCUAGACAUUGCUUGAUCUUGGGGAGGAACAUUUACUUGUACAUUAUGAUACUGUCUUCCUUGUCGUUGAGCAAGUAUCCCAUUCCAUCCCAUCAUCAAAAUCCACUGUUAACUAAUUUUAUUCAUUUUUGGUAUUUUUCAUACCCUUUAAUAUUUCUGAACAAAAUGGAUUGCAUUUAAUUAGAAAAAAAAAUAGAGGGAGUACCUAGAGCAGGAUCAAGUCCUUUGUUUCUCAGCUCUCUAAACUCCUGACAAAGGGAACAAAAUGGGCAGAAGAAGUGAGAGAUGACAUCAGUGUAAGGAGCUUCCACCAGAUUGUAAAUCCUCCUCAAUUUUGCUCUGUACUUGGAACCCAUAAUCCAUUGAAAGCACAGGGUAGGCAUCAUUAUCACGUAAAUAAAACUCCCCAAAGGACAAGUCAACUCUCCCUCAUCCAGUGCUUCUACAAUCUGCCCAAAUGUUACACAAGGGAAAAAUGCUGUCAUAAUAGCAUUUGUUUGAUAUUCAUGACAGUCGAAUAAUCCUGUUGUCCAAGGAUGUCCAAGAACCAUGUUAUUUCCGAGCACCACAGGAGCUGUAGUGGAAUAAUCUUGAUGAAGAAUCCCAGGUUGAAUAUUAUCCUGAACUUGAUGCCAAGUUUGUGGUGC